UUGGGGAGAUUAAUCGGAGAGGUUGCUGGGGCGCGUGGACGUAACGCUCACGUUGGAGUGCGUGGGACGGCUGACGGUUUUAGUGUAAAGUAGAAGAAGACGGAACGGGAAGUAUGGGCCGGUGAGCCGUUGCACGUUAGGGAUGAAAAAGGAAAUGCCGUGUCCGGUCCGGCCCUUUCUAGCAAUUUUUUUAGAAUUAAGUGGCCCCCUGUACUUUCUAUUUCUUCGAUUUAGCCUCCAAAGCCAAAAGAAAAAAAAAAUUCACAUUAAUGUCAUAUUAAUUUAGAAAGGAUCACACUUGUAUGAGACCGUCUCAUGGAACCUUAUUCGUAAGACGGGUCGGGUUGGAUCGAAUCAACAUGUAAAUGUCAUACUUUUAUGCUGAAAUGUAAUGCUAAUCACGAAUAAUUUUUUUUUUACUUAUAAGGAAAAAUGUAAUACUUUUG
Long non-coding RNA from Ipomoea nil (Japanese morning glory), 446 nucleotides. RefSeq lists it as uncharacterized. The record is from RefSeq and is a predicted model, not a curated record. The transcript has 2 exons. NCBI's taxonomy places the organism in Eukaryota, Viridiplantae, Streptophyta, Magnoliopsida, Solanales, Convolvulaceae.